Molecule: transfer RNA, 73 nt
Filed under: Candidatus Falkowiibacteriota bacterium
Lineage: Bacteria; Candidatus Falkowiibacteriota
Description: tRNA-Lys
Rfam family: tRNA
About the family: Transfer RNA (tRNA) molecules are approximately 80 nucleotides in length.
Source: RNAcentral
GACCCGGUAGCUCAGCUGGUAGAGCAUCUGCCUUUUAAGCAGAGUGUCCUGGGUUCGAGCCCCAGCCGGGUCA